Molecule: ribosomal RNA, 440 nt
Filed under: uncultured bacterium
Lineage: Bacteria
Description: partial 16S ribosomal RNA
Rfam family: Bacterial small subunit ribosomal RNA
Source: RNAcentral
CCUACGGGAGGCAGCAGUGGGGAAUAUUGCACAAUGGGGGGAACCCUGAUGCAGCAACGCCGCGUGGGUGAAGAAGUACUCCGGUAUGUAAAGCCCUGUCAGCAGGGAAGAAAAUGACGGUACCUGACCAAGAAGCCCCGGCUAACUACGUGCCAGCAGCCGCGGUAAUACGUAGGGGGCAAGCGUUAUUCGGAUUUACGGGGUGUAAAGGGAGCGUAAACGGGAAGGCAAGUUUGGAGGGAAAGCCGGUGGGCCAACCACGGGACUGCUUUGGAAACUGGGUUGCUGGAGUGCAGGAGGGGUAAGCGGAAUUCCUAGUGUAGCGGUGAAAUGCGUAGAUAUUAGGAGGAACACCGGUGGCGAAGGCGGCUUACUGGACUGUAACUGACGUUGAGGCUCGAAGGCGUGGGGAGCGAACAGGAUUAGAUACCCCUGUAGUC